AAAACAUGUUUAUUAUGAAGUUAUUUAUAGUCUGGCCUGCUCCCUGACUAUAAAGUUAAAGAGCCGCGGUAAUUUGACCGUGCAAAGGUAGCAUAAUCAUUAGUUUCUUAAUUGGGAACUUGUAUGAAAGGUCUGACAAAGGAAAAGCUGUCUUUAUUGUAAAGGUUGAAUUUAACUUUUAAGUGAAAAGGCUUAAAUGAUUUAGAGGGACGAUAAGACCCUAUAAAGCUUUAUAUAAAAAAUAAUCAAAAUUGAAUUUAUAAUAAAAAUUUAAAUUAAUUAUUAUAUUUUAUUGGGGUGAUAUUAAUAAAAGUAAUAUUAACUGUUAAAAAAAAAAUACGUGAAUAAAAGAAUUGAAUAUAUUAAUGAUCCUUGUUUAAAGAUUAAAAGAUUAAGUUACUUUAGGGAUAACAGCGUAAUUCUUCUUAAGAGUUCAUAUCGAAAGAAGAGAUUUUGACCUCGAUGUUGAAUUAAAAUAUCUGUGUAAAGUAGCCAUUACAUGAGAAGGUCUGUUCGACCUUUAAAUUUUUACGUGA
Molecule: ribosomal RNA, 536 nt
Filed under: Trapezia cymodoce
Lineage: Eukaryota; Metazoa; Arthropoda; Malacostraca; Decapoda; Trapeziidae
Description: partial 16S ribosomal RNA
Rfam family: Bacterial large subunit ribosomal RNA
Source: RNAcentral